Molecule: unclassified non-coding RNA, 253 nt
Filed under: uncultured Planctomycetia bacterium
Lineage: Bacteria; Pseudomonadati; Planctomycetota; Planctomycetia
Description: contains 16S-23S intergenic spacer region
Rfam family: Bacterial small subunit ribosomal RNA
Source: RNAcentral
GACGAACCGUGCGAACGUUGUUCGGAAUCACUGGGCUUAAAGGGCGCGUAGGCGGGUGACCAAGUCAGUGGUGAAAUCCUUCGGCUCAACCGGAGAAGUGCCUUUGAUACUGGUCGCCUAGAGGGAGAUAGGGGCAUGUGGAACUUCCAGUGGAGCGGUGAAAUGCGUUGAUAUUGGAAGGAACGCCGGUGGCGAAAGCGACGUGCUGGAUCUCUUCUGACGCUGAGGCGCGAAAGCUAGGGGAGCGAACGGG